This 207-nucleotide unclassified non-coding RNA is filed under the name uncultured Suillus. RNAcentral's name for it is "sequence contains ITS1". Lineage: Eukaryota; Fungi; Basidiomycota; Agaricomycetes; Boletales; Suillaceae. The record is from RNAcentral.
AUGAAAUUAUAAUCCGGCGAGGGGAAAGGCGGAGGGUUGUAGCUGGCCUCUAGGGGCAUGUGCACGCUCUCUUCCGGACCUUUCGCCGUAUGGGCGCGGGGCGACCCGCGUCUUCAUAUACCUCUUCGUGUAGAAAGUCUUUGAAUGUUUUACCAUCAUCGAGUCGCGACUUCUAGGAGACGCGAUUCUUUGAGAAAAAAGUUAUUA